This 382-nucleotide ribosomal RNA is filed under the name uncultured eukaryote. RNAcentral describes it as "partial 18S ribosomal RNA". It matches the Rfam family "Eukaryotic small subunit ribosomal RNA", at positions 592 to 976 of the family's 1831-position model. The record is from RNAcentral.
CAAUAGCGUAUAUUAAAGUUGUUGCAGUUAAAAAGCUCGUAGUUGGAUUUCUGGUUGGAGCGACCGGUCGGGCAUUGAUUUGUCUGCACUGGAGUCGGUUCUGGCCAUCCUCUUGGAAAGUGCGUCUGUCAUUAAGUUGUCGGGCGUAUGAUCCAGGUCUUUUACUGUGAAAAAAUUAGAGUGUUUAAAGCAGGCCUUCGCCUUGAAUACAUUAGCAUGGAAUAAUAAGAUAGGACUUUGGUCUAUUUUGUUGGUUUGCAGACCGAAGUAAUGAUUAAUAGGGAUAGUUGGGGGUAUUUAUAUUCCGAUGUCAGAGGUGAAAUUCUUAGAUUUUCGGAAGAUAAACUUAUGCGAAAGCAUUUACCAAGGAUGUUUUCAUUAA